Molecule: ribosomal RNA, 339 nt
Filed under: Candidatus Poseidoniia archaeon
Lineage: Archaea; Methanobacteriati; Thermoplasmatota; Candidatus Poseidoniia
Description: bacterial SSU rRNA
Rfam family: Archaeal small subunit ribosomal RNA
Source: RNAcentral
ACUUCGGUUGAUCCUGCCGAAGGCUACUGCUAUUGGAGUUCGAUUAAGCCAUGCGAGUCUAAGGGAUCUUCGGAUCCCUGGCGUAAUGCUCAGUAACACGUGGAUAAUCUACCCUCAGGUGGGGCAUAAACCCGGGAAACUGGGGCCAAUUCCCCAUAAAUACAGAUGGCUGGAAUGCUUCUGUAUUCAAAGCUCCGGCGCCUGAGGAUGAGUCUGCGGCCUAUCAGGUUGUAGUCAGGGUCAAGACCUGACUAGCCAGCGACGGGUAUGGGGUGUGAGAGCACUUGCCCAGAGAUGGUUUCUGAGACACGAAACCAGGCCCUACGGGGCGCAGCAGGC